This 7127-nucleotide long non-coding RNA is filed under the name Volvox carteri. RNAcentral describes it as "long non-coding RNA (VCAR_LNC001599)". Lineage: Eukaryota; Viridiplantae; Chlorophyta; Chlorophyceae; Chlamydomonadales; Volvocaceae. The record is from RNAcentral.
AGGUGAAUAAGAAGGAGGCGACGGUGGAGGCGCGUUCAUGACCGUCGCUGAAAAGGUGGGAAGGCAGGGUGAGGGUAAACAGGUUUAGCCUUGCUUAUUUCAAUGUGCACGUUGAAACUCACAUUAUGCAUGAAUAACUAGGUAGGCAAACAUUUUAAGCCUAGCUCAGUUCCGCCCUAAAGCCCCUGUUGGCGCUGCACCACCAAGCAUGCCCGUCAACGACAUAUAUCAUCCAAAUAAAACUUCAAACAAUUACGUGCACAGCCCCAGACCUAAACUGCGGGACUCAGGUAGGUUCCCAUAGCCUUGGCAAUGUCGGCAUCUGACGCGAGGUAUGUAAGGACGAAGCGUAGCGCAAAGAAAAUGCUUAGAAUAAUGCUGAACCAUAUCCUAGCUGUCCUUUCUGCGGGCAACACACUGGGAGGGAAACAAUGUCGUGUAAGGGAUAGAAUGACAGUAUGCGCCUCUGCCAAACGCGUUGUAUUUCAUGCCCACUUACCCUGUUAGGAAGCGGGGAACCUCCAAACCCAUAGUCGCGCCUUGCUCGUUUUCAUUCGCCAUGCCUCCGUUAACGCAGGCUGAAAUGAACACAGACAGGACCAGCAAAAAUGCUCCAGGAUACAUAGAACGCAAACUAUAUUCCGUCAGAGCACACCGAGCACUGAGCGGACGCCCUGGGAGCGCCCUUCGAGUCGGCUUCAUGUCCUCCCGAAAGCAAGUUUAGAGCGACUGCCUAACCUUAGUGCUGUCAGAUUCGUUAACAGUUGUCCUUUUCUUUGGACAAGUUCACGCUAAUUCAAUGCACGUGCCACCCUUGCCAGCACUGCGAAAAGGAAAAGUGACGAGUCUUUCUGUAUAUCAGUAAAGUGUAGCAAAAAUGAUGAAGACGAAUGAAGGGACGCAUCAAUGAUACAGUGUAGAACGUGCUGGGACUUGCCUUCAGACGCGCUGCAAGCCGUACAUCAAUGUUACCUUACGUAAAGUCGCUGAUGGCAGGUGGAAGGUGGCCAACCACAUUGGCAGUAGUUCAAAAUCAAGAUUCUCAAGUUAUGCUUGCUUACAAAGCAUCUGUUCCUAAACCUGGCAGGAUGAAACCGAAUGCCCUUAACCCUCAACGUUUUCGCCUGCGGCCAACGUCUUCAGCGGCGAUUCAUGCAUCCUUUCUUCCGUAAGCCGCACAACCCACUGGACAUACCCGUCUUGUACGGAACGUGUGUACGAGUGCGCAGCAGAUCUAACAGAGCACAGCCAGGGGGUGAGCAGGAGAUGCCGUGGAACCCAACUCGAACCCCGAACCGCAUCCCUUCGGUUGAAGCUGGUGGCAAAUAAUAACACGUCUAGGGUUGCGUAUCUCUUGAGGGUUUCGGAUAGGUCUAGAUGCACGCUCGCAGACGCAGACCGAAAAGGACAACUUGUUUUACACAUUUUUCGCACGUUGAAGAUACAGCCAGCAAAUCCCAACAAUUCCAUCGAGUCACACUGCCGUACACAUACGUUUUGUCGAUGCUACCGUCGUACGACGCGACAGCACCAAAUCGCUGAUGAACUCGCUCUAGCUCCUACAUACACCUCAUCGAGUAAAACACUAAGGGAAUUUCAGCUUCGGGCUGGACGGCGAUUGCCAAGUACACCUGCUGCAACAUCCUCACACAAACCUACAUCGUCGCCUACAAGUGCGUGAUGUAAUCCUAUGACGGUCGAAAAAGCAGUGAUGUCUGAUGAUUAACCUACAGGAGGUAGACGAGGUCACCGUCUGUUCGUUAUAGAGAAUUUGUCACUAAUGGCGCUGCAGACGCACUCGUUACCCCCCCCCCGGCCGCAUGCGGAAUAUCCUUUGUUGUGCUCUGUCUUGGUCUCCGGCUAAGUGUGAAGAGGAUUCUUUCAAUCGCAUGCAGAUCCUCUGGCCUGCAAGCGCGAUCUGGGAAGCCGGCGACGUCUCCACGCCAAUUCCCGCACUCCGGCUGGAUGCGUGUAGUCCCUGCCUCCUCCCGCCACCCUACCUUCUUUACAUUGCCUUUUGCUCCUCUUCCUCCCGCCUCCAUGCCUAUGCCAGGCCAAAGAGGCCCGUUACAUACACGUCCUUUCCCCAUCUCCACGUCCGGCACUGUCUCAAGCACAGCCCGCCCCAAGCCUGACCCGUCCCACAUCCAACACCCACAUGCACCCCCAAACUCCGGCGUACGCUGCCAGCCCGAACCCUCACACCGCCACACCUCAGCCCCAGCAAAACACCUUAUGCACUUUUGCGCAUGCACUUCCCUAAACCGUACUCAGGCACAUCUUUCCCCCCUUACAGCCCACUUCCCCAGCAUAUGCCGCGUGUCCCCUAGCAGCUCGCCCACACCUGCUGCAGCCGCGGCCCCGCAAACCUCCUCCACUUCCUUCUCAAUGCAACCCGGGACCAGGGCCUCUCAGUGCUGAUGUGGCUGCCCCAGAUCCAGAUCCAGUCGUACCACAUUCAUCUUGACAUUGGGCGCCCCUCUCAGCCCAGCCACGUACUGCAGCUUACGUGGCAUGCUCUGUCCCUUGGCCACCUUGGUUUGUACGGUGGCCUCGCGCGGCCGCCAAACCUGAACGGCACGAAGAGGAGAAGGGUUGAUUGGGACAGUGCCGGGUUAAAUAGGAGAGUGGAAGAGGGGAUGAGAAAGGAGGGGUGAUCGGGGCAGUGCAGGGAUGAGGAGGAGAGGGAAAGAGAAGGCGAGAAGCAUUUUUCCCCGUUCUCCUCUGCGCUUUCCCCCUCACUCCUCCUCUCUCCUCCAUUUCUCCCUCGCCCCACAUCCCACCACCUACCCACGCAUCCACCCACCCAUGUACCCCUACAUCACCGCGGAGGCCCCGCACCCCGGAGGCCCACCUGCGUCUCGUUUUCGCGCUUGAAGUGGCUCUCCGCGGUUUGCGUGCUGUGUGUGGCCUUGCCGCGCAGGUUGGCCAGUGCCAGUGCGCGUCGCCGCAGCGCCCACACGUUCCAUUCGUAAUCCUUGUCGAUGUAUCGCUCCACAAAGUGUACGGGAGUCUGGCAGCCAAAGUCAACCUUGAGUGUGCCGGACAUGGCCUGCGGUGAGGGGGAGCGUGGGGUGAGGGAGCGUAAGGUGACAUGGCCCGUGGGAUGUGGUAGGACGCGGUGCAGUGUACAUGUACGAUAACGGACGCCACCCUGCAUUUGUGUCUCUCUCUCAAAGCCUAGGAUGCCUUCCCGCUGCGGUGCUCCCUGGGGACUUCCACCACGUGGUGUAAGUCCCCGGGUGCAUGGUGACGGUGUACCAUCCCAUCCCGCCCAGGCACCCCCAACACAAUCUGUACCUGCCCAUACCCAUACCCACCCACCCACCCAAGCACCCACUUCCUCAGCUCCAUAGGACUCCGAAACCAUCCACUCACCCCGUACCCACGCAAACCCCCAAUCAAACCCCCAGCCGCCCACACAGCGCCGACCUACCUGCAGCACCGCAUGCACGUCUGCGGAGGGUCUGGGGGGUGGAAGCCCCAGCGGCCUAGCCAGCAGCGGCUCCUUGCGCACCGCUGCGUCCACUGCCGCCAGGCAGCCGGCGGGGUCGGCCAGGAAGGCCUGCAUGUCGGCGUUGGUCGCAAAGCCGUACACCUUGUCCUGCGACGGGAAAAAAACAGCAAGGGAUUAUUGGGAGAGAGGACAAAGUUCGUCAAUUCGUCAAUUUAAAAAUCGGCGGUGUAACUGAAAAUCGCAACACAUACUUGUGACUGGGCUGCAGUCCGAAUGAAACCCAAAGAAUCCAAACCCAAACCAACACACAUGUGCACAUUUGUGAGUAGAUUACCCAAUACACACAGACACAUGCAUACAUAGAUAUUUCUCUAUGUUGUUAUCGUAUAAUGUUCCACUCGUGGUAGGCCAGAUAUCCUCGCGGUACCUGGUAGGCCAGAUAGCCCAGACGCGGAUUGGACCGCCGCAGGAGCGGGUACCGACCCGUGGGUCGUCUCGCCAGUGUGCCAGCGCAAAACCCCGCCAGCGCAAGGCCUGGCUGGAGCUGCGUGUGAGAGGUGGGGCGAAUGUACUCCAGCUCGCCACUGCUGCCACCUUCGGUGCCGCCUUGAAGCGCAUCUAGGCCCGCGAGUGUGGUUUCAUUGAGCUGCUCCGAUAAAGCGUCAACCGCUGCCGCGUUGGAGGAGGAUGACGUCUGAGUGCUGGUCGAUACCCCUGCACCCGUUGGAAGUUGGCAGUUGGCCGUUGUUACAUGUGGAAGUGGGUCGUUGUCAGUUGUCAGUUAAGGCAUGUGAAAUUGGAUCAUGGUGGUAAUAAAGGUGAGACAUUGGCUAGCGGCUGGCACAUGUUGGCCAUUGUUGCGUUCUUCGUUACGUGACGCGAGCAGCGGCGCUACGCAUGAGAGGAAAAACGCUCGCGCCAAACAAACAGGUUAGGGACAGCUGUAGAUGACAGCUGUAGCUGACAGCUGUAGCUAAGUGACUGGAUAGAUGGUGCGCAGGUCCGCAGCGGAAGGCGCAGAAAGGCGUCACUUCUCCUCUUAUUCCCUUCUUUCCCUUUCCCCAUCCUCCCUCUCCAUUCUUUCUUCUCCCUCGCUCUUCUCGUAGUAUUUAACGAAGGGGCUAUCGAAGCUACCUCGCCACGUUUGUGUGUGUUUUAGUGAUCGAGCCUCGAUGAUUUUCCAAUGGCAAUGAUGGGCUUUGUAGGUAGUGUCUCUCUGUUUCGCGUUUUCGCUUUGGCGCGCUUCCGAGUUGCCGGAGACAUUUGCUCUCACCGGGCUUACGAGGGGGCGCCUGAGCCGGGAGCAACAGACUCUUAGCUGGCAAAACCGAAAGCUCCGAAAGUUCGUCGUACAGCCGUUGUCGUACCACAAGCAUGCGCAGCUCCUGAUGCAGGCCGGUGUGCAACGCGCCGAGCCUGUGUGGCGCCGAGCCAUUGGCAGCGACAGUAGGCCAGCAGCAGCGGCGGCGGUCGGUCGGGAAAGUAAUGACAGCGGCAGAAAGCCGGAAAUGUGCAUCAAGCGCAGUAAUCAGAUCAAUUUAGCUAGUGAUUAGCGGUGAUAGAAGGCCGUCGACAGCGAUAGCCGUACGGCGUCGUAGCAGCACCACCACCAGCAGCAUAAGUCAAGGCAGUUGCAAGGCAGUUUCAAUAGGCCGCUGGCAGCGACAUUCGCGUCCCAGACGAAACCUGAUGCUUCCUUGACAACUCCUUGUCAGUUUUCCGUUAGCUCGCAACACUGAGGUACUGUACAUACAUACGCAUCAUCAUCAACAUCAUCAUGCCGUCAUCAUGGAAUGGCCCUGCGGCGCAGGCGACAGCCUCCCCUCCCGUGGGUGACCUCUGCCACCCACGCCCACGCCGUACACACCAGCUAUCCUUCCCUCCUUAGCCUCUGGCCCACAUAACGGGUUGCCAAAACCACACAGCACCCGUGCUCCUCCCCACCCGACCCCAGACCAGGACAGACCAAAUCUUACGCACCUGUCGAAGAGAGGAUACACGGUGUCCUUGCUCACCGCUGCCGAUUGCCCAACCGACUCGUGCACCUGCCGGGCAGAGGGGAAACAACAAGAAAACAUCAUGGAACAUCGUGAGACACGUAGCUCAAGAUUAGAUGUGUAAAACAGGGCGAAACUGAAACAAUGGACGCGUGUAGUCCGCUACAGUUCCCUUUAGAAUACUUCAACGCUGAAGCCCUAUCCACUCCAGACUCCAUCCCUGAAUAUACAAAAUUACACAUGCCUGCAUGCACACCCAUCCUCUUCCGCGCACCUGCACGAGUGUGUGUUCCAGCUCCGCAUCAAGCAGCUGAGCUGCCUCAAGACCCUCCUGCAGGUCGGCCUGCACGGGAAACAACAGCAUCAACAUCAACAUCAACAUCAACAUCAAUAUCAGGAUCAACAUUAACAGCAUCAACAGCCGGGCACGCCUAUCCAAAUUUCCUUUCGAUCUGAUUUUUUACUUUGCGAGUUUCUCCAACCGUAAAAAAAGCCUUUUGGCAACACACUUUUCAGACGCCCUUCUGGAACUCCGUCGGAUGGGCGGUUUGACCUGGCAAGCAGGGUAGCUUGCGACGGGGGUUCAGUUCCCGCACCCCGACCGCGUCAAGAAGACACACACAGUUGUGUAAAGUGUAUAGGCCGUCGGACGCGUCAUCCGGAGCAUCGCCGGAUGUGUUAACCGUGUUACCCAGAGGAUGAGAUGGAGAACGUAGGAUGGUUAUGGUGUGGUGAAGUGAGGGCGCGAGCGACCCGUGGGUCACAUGGAUGGCGCCGUCGACAAUGCGCUCGAUGAUUGUCGCCCAAGGACUUGCUCCAUGAAACGUCCCGCUAUGCCCCGGGAUAUACGCCUGGCGUUACGGCGGACAUGCGGCCUCCAUGAAGCCACAGCAAUGUAACGCUGUAAGAUCUGGGCUCAGGUUUCUUCAGGACCUGUCUCAUCCAUCGCAUUCACGUGCUCGGUAGAUUAGCCCAACCCAGCUUGGCUAGUGUUGCGCUUAUCCCUCCUCAGGUCCCAAGCUCCCGCAAAUGCCGUACAAUACAGUACAGUACGACACGGUACUCACAUGCAGCGACUCGUACAGCUGCAGGGCCUGGCCGCGAUUGAGAACCUCCGCGUGAAGCAGCGCGCGCCGCAGCUCCUCCUCACCACCCGCAGUCGCCGCCGAUGUAACAGCAGCGGCUGCAGGCCCGUCGCCGUCUGCGGGAGGCGGCGGCAGCUUGGCCACCAUCGCAUGCAGUUUGGCCAUCUGUUCCGUUACCUCGGUCCGGCACCUGGUAGCAUAGGUUAUUGGCCGGUUAGAAUGUCAGGGCAUAGCAGUACCCAAAGCCUCUGUCCUACACGGGGCCUGGGAUGAGAUUCCGACGAAACUCAUAGCCAUCCCCCGUCGCUCAAGCCGCAACAGCACCGGCCAACCCCCACCCCAUCACACCACCUCAACCCCGCGAUCGCGCUGCAAUCGCGAUACAUUGCAAGCGACGGCGCUAAAACCCUAUCGCCCUCUCCCCAUAAGGUGUAUCGGUCGUUCACCACCCUCUCCCCUACACCGCACCCGGCCCCCUCCGUCGCAACCCCCUUCAGGUCCGCACCUGUUCAGGUCCCGUAGCAGGCGUUGCGCCUGCGGCAGGUACGACGCUGCCGCCGCCGGCAGUGCAGUGCCGCCCUGUCCCAG